Molecule: transfer RNA, 74 nt
Filed under: Lactobacillus acidophilus La-14
Lineage: Bacteria; Bacillati; Bacillota; Bacilli; Lactobacillales; Lactobacillaceae
Description: tRNA-Pro
Source: RNAcentral
UAAGACAUUAAUUUUUUCAUUGCGUGGUAAAUCGCGCUUAGUAAUCUGAAUUUCACCUUCAUAACGUUGAUAUA